Molecule: long non-coding RNA, 1035 nt
Filed under: Apteryx haastii (Great spotted kiwi)
Lineage: Eukaryota; Metazoa; Chordata; Aves; Apterygiformes; Apterygidae
Description: lncRNA (ENSAHAG00000012670.1)
Source: RNAcentral
AUGCAAAGCGAGCGGUGCGGAGGGCUGCCGCUGGCCGGCCCGGCUGCCUCGCUCGCCUCGGCGCCUCUUGGCAGGGCGGCGAGUCUGAUGCAAUCGGCUGCGCUGACGGAGGCCGCGCCGGCGGUUCCCCACCUGUAUUUGCCAUUGUGUGCCCGGAGCUGUUUGCAGGUGUUUGCUGGCGCCGCGCUGUCUGAGCCGCACUUCCCUCCUCCUCCUCCCGCUGCCUUCCCCGGCCAAGGCCUGCCUCCCCCCGCCGCCAGCCGGCCCGGCCCGCCGCCAGCCGGCCUGCGCCGGGGCGGCCGCGCUCGCGCACGCGGGCGCUCGUGCACGGGGACACGGGUGGGCACGCGUGUGCACGCAGAUGUGCGCGUGGAGCCGCGCGUGCACUUGCGCGUGAGCGCACACGCGCUUAUACACGUGCACACACACGCAUGCCUUUACGCGCACGCACGGCUUGCAUGCACAUGCCUGGACUUGCGCACACACAGGGGCACGCACGUGCACGCGCUUGCACAAACGCCUGGGUGGACACACAUGCACACGCACGCGCAUGCGGAUUUGCUCAUGCAUCCCACCAGGGACGCGCACACGCACGCACGCACGCUGCCCCUAACAGAGCCACGUGUGCACACACGUGCGUGCACCAACGCGCACCCGCUGCAGCCGGGCUGCAACGCGUGCACCCCCCCCCCCGGCAGCGCCACACAUGCACACUCACACGGAUGCACACGUGCGUCUGCCAGCGGCGUGCACACGUGUGCGCGCUCACAGGCGUGCAAGGACGCAGGCGCACGCAAACCCCUUCCCCGCCAACAGCGACGCACACACAUGCACACGCAAUCCCCCCCCCGCAAGUAUCACCCCCCCCUUCCCCAGCCCUGCGAAUGUCCUGGGCUGUCCCCCACCCCGGGCAUCCCCGCGCCCUUGGCUUCCUCCCAGCUUGGCGAAAUAUCCGUCCCCCGGGGCCCUGCGGCAUUUUCGGCUCAAGCGACGGCUCUUCCUGUCCUAACUCACGGCGUGGAGCGGCCGGAGUGA